CAACAUCACAAUCAUGUACAUUAUCAAUACAAAAUAAUAAUAGCGAUGAUCCAUCAAUUACACCAACAAGUACAUCAACAAAUACAAUCCAUAGAGGCAGCAGAACUACGAUGACGAAAAGUAAUAUCAACAAGAACCAAUACUAACAAGAGUAACAACAUCAGUACAAAGUACAUUACUAUCAGCUACAUUGCCGAUACAAAGUCUAACAUCAGCUGCAUUGGCGAUACAAAAUAUCAAGAAUAAUAAUUCUUUAGUUACAUCAACAAGUGCACCAACAAAUUGAAUUCAAGAAAACAACGAAGCUACGAAAUUAUAGUCAAUCUUAAAUAGUGAUUCUAAAGGCAAAUCGAUUUUAUCGAGCUUUCAUAUCAGACUAAAGAAUAAAAAUUCAACAAAAAGAUUCAUACUACCUAGAGUUUGCG
Molecule: long non-coding RNA, 425 nt
Organism: Aphidius gifuensis
Lineage: Eukaryota; Metazoa; Arthropoda; Insecta; Hymenoptera; Braconidae
Exons: 3
Source: RefSeq, a predicted model, not a curated record